Anser brachyrhynchus (Pink-footed goose) is the source of this 1197-nucleotide long non-coding RNA. NCBI's taxonomy places the organism in Eukaryota, Metazoa, Chordata, Aves, Anseriformes, Anatidae. The record is from Ensembl.
AUGGGAUGUUUUCCCCAGCAAAGAUGCCGUUUAUUCCGAAAUGGUUCAAGAAGUGCCAAAGGACGCCUUCCCCCUCCCGUGGGGAGGCACGUCCCUGCUUGGAAAGCUUGCAGCAGGGUGGGGAGCCCUUCUGGGGCCAGCGCCUUCCCCAGACACCCCCAGCCUGCUCACAGGGCACCACCCGUGUGUCCAAAGGCUGGAGAAGACACAGGGAACCUCGGGGCCAGAGAUGCUCAACCCUCCUGCCCCGGGCAGGGCCAGGUCAGCGGGGGCCCCGCAGAGCUCGGCUGCCUCCCGCCGGGUCGCCCCCAGCUCGCCCCGGCCCUGCCACCUCGCCCCAGCCCCCUGACAGCAGCAGGGCAGCACCCCGCCGGUGCCCGCGGGGCGUUCGGCUCCUCCUUCAUUCCUCAUCCCUCUUCCUGCCGCACCGCGGCCACAUCCGAGCUCCUGCUCCUGAGUCACCGGAGACACAAACACUGCAAGAGCCACGGCCCAGCCCCAGGACAGCGAGGCCACCGGGUCACUGUGCCAGCGGGAAGCCGCAGGGCACCGCGGGGCGGGGGGCACCACGCAGGGCUGGGCAGCCCUCGGCAAAACCAACCCCAGGUCUUGCAGCGCCCAUCCCAGCGACGUCUGGGCACAGCGGGAGGGUGCAGGGCCAGUGAAGCGGCUCCCCUGGGACCACGGGGGUGUGAGAACCAGGAGCACAGCCUUCCCAAGCCUCCUGGCACACGGAGCACACAACGCUUCCACAGACAUCAGGGGCAGGGAGCCCGCCGACUGCUGCAGGGGCUGGAGGCGAAGAGAAGGCACCGGCCGACAUCCCUGAAGCAGCCCAGCCGCGUGCUGCCCGCUCGCUCCUCCAGCCGGCACCGCACGGCCGCGGGCAGCGAGGAACCUGCCCCGCUUCCCUCCCCAGCCGUAGGCAGCAGCCAGCAGAGCAGGAACCUCACCCCGCGCGCCCCAGCACGGAGCCCUGCCCGGGAUCCGGGCUUCUCGGAGCUGGCAGCGCCGUGGCUGCGGUCCCGGAGCAGAAGGAAACAGGAGGCCCCUGGGGAGAGCUCCGGGGCAAGCCAGGUUUUUGUCCCCUUUCCCACACCCCCAGCCCAGCGGAGCGCGGAGGCGCAGCAGGUAGGUCACUGCCCACGCCGCUCACCUUCUUCUCAUUCUCCAGCCCCCAGCUGUGACAAACUGUGA